This 443-nucleotide ribosomal RNA is filed under the name uncultured bacterium. Its description in RNAcentral is "partial 16S ribosomal RNA". It matches the Rfam family "Bacterial small subunit ribosomal RNA", at positions 338 to 795 of the family's 1533-position model. The record is from RNAcentral.
CCUACGGGGGGCUGCAGUGGGGAAUAUUGGGCAAUGGGCGCAAGCCUGACCCAGCAACGCCGCGUGAAGGAAGAAGGCUUUCGGGUUGUAAACUUCUUUUGUCAGGGACGAAGCAAGUGACGGUACCUGACGAAUAAGCCACGGCUAACUACGUGCCAACAGCCGCGGUAAUACGUAGGUGGCAAGCGUUAUCCGGAGUUACUUGGUGUAAAGGGCGUGUAGGCGGGGAAGAAAGUCAGAUGUGAAAACCACGGGCGCAACCUAGGGCCUGCAUUUGAAACUGUUUUGCUUGCGUGCUGGAGAGGCGAUCGGAAUUACGUGUGUAGCGGUGAAAUGCGUAGAUAUACGGAGGAACACCAGUGGCGAAGGCGGAUUGCUGGACAGUAACUGACGCUGAGGCGCGAAAGCGUGGGGAGCAAACAGGAUUAGAUACCCUGGUAGUC